RNAcentral lists this long non-coding RNA (295 nucleotides) under Carica papaya (papaya). RNAcentral describes it as "long non-coding RNA (CPAP_LNC001831)". The record is from RNAcentral. Lineage: Eukaryota; Viridiplantae; Streptophyta; Magnoliopsida; Brassicales; Caricaceae.
AGCAUGGACACAUGAAACAUAUUAUGAACCUUGGAUAGUUCUAGAGGCAGUGCCAGUCUGUAGGCGACGAUGCUAAUUCUGUAUAAGAUUUCGAAUGGCCCAAUAAAUCGAGAAUUUAGUUUUCUCAUCUUUCCAAACUUACUGAUUCUCUCGAAAGGAGUGACCUUAAGAAACACUCGAUCACCUUUCUCAAAUUCCAAAUCCCUCCUCCAGGUAUCCACAUAACUUUUCUGCUUACUCUGAGCUGUCUGGAUGUUCUUCCUGAUCUUAACUAUUUGUUGUGGUCUCCUCCACU